This 253-nucleotide ribosomal RNA is filed under the name uncultured bacterium. RNAcentral describes it as "partial 16S ribosomal RNA". It matches the Rfam family "Bacterial small subunit ribosomal RNA", at positions 524 to 776 of the family's 1533-position model. The record is from RNAcentral.
GACAGAGGGUGCAAACGUUGUUCGGAAUUACUGGGCGUAAAGCGAGUGUAGGCGGUCUUGUAAGCCAGAUGUGAAAUCCCCGGGCUUAACCUGGGAAUGGCAUUUGGGACUGCAAGGCUUGAGUUUGGCAGAGGAGACUGGAAUUCCUGGUGUAGCAGUGAAAUGCGUAGAUAUCAGGAGGAAUACCGAUGGCGAAGGCAGGUCUCUGGGCUAGAACUGACGCUCAUGCACGAAAGCGUGGGGAGCAAACAGG